Molecule: ribosomal RNA, 363 nt
Filed under: uncultured bacterium
Lineage: Bacteria
Description: partial 16S ribosomal RNA
Rfam family: Bacterial small subunit ribosomal RNA
Source: RNAcentral
CCUACGGGAGGCAGCAGUGAGGAAUAUUGGUCAAUGGACGGAAGUCUGAACCAGCCAUGCCGCGUGCAGGAAGACGGCCCUAUGGGUUGUAAACUGCUUUUGUACGAGGGUAAACCUUAAUACGUGUAUCCAGCUGCAUGUACUUUACGAAUAAGGAUAGGCUAACUCCGGGCCAGCAGCCGCGGUAAUACGGAGGAUACAAGCGUUAUCCGGAUUUAUUGGGUUUAAAGGGUGCGUAGGCGGAUUGGUAAGUUAGAUGUGAAAUGUCCGGGCGUAACCCGGGAACUGCCUCUAAUACUGGUGAUCUUGAGUGUAGUAGAGGGAGGCAGAAUGUGUGGUGUAGCGGUGAAAUGCUUAGAGAUC